Molecule: non-coding RNA, 84 nt
Organism: Hamiltosporidium tvaerminnensis
Lineage: Eukaryota; Fungi; Microsporidia; Dubosqiidae
Source: the annotation of a GenBank genome assembly
GACAUCUUGGCCGAGUGGUCUAAGGCGUUCGACUCAAAAUCGAAUCUACGGUAGUGGGCGAGGGUUCGAAUCCCUCAGAUGUCA